GAUGAACGCUAGCGGCAGGUUUAACACAUGCAAGUCGAGGGGUAACAGGGUAGCAAUACCGCUGACGACCGGCAAACGGGUGCGGAACACGUACGCAAUCUACCGUUGUCUGGGGUAUAGCCCGGAGAAAUCCGGAUUAAUCCCCCAUAAGAUAUUGGAGUGGCAUCACUCAGAUAUUAAAACUCAGGUGGACAAUGAUGAGCGUGCGUCCCAUUAGCUAGUUGGAGGGUAACGGCCUACCAAGGCGACGAUGGGUAGCUGGUGUGAGAGCACGACCAGCCACACGGGCACUGAGACACGGGCCCGACUCCUACGGGAGGCAGCAGUGAGGAAUAUUGGUCAAUGGACGCAAGUCUGAACCAGCCAUGCCGCGUGAAGGAUGAAGGCCUUC
This 391-nucleotide ribosomal RNA is filed under the name uncultured bacterium. RNAcentral describes it as "bacterial SSU rRNA". It matches the Rfam family "Bacterial small subunit ribosomal RNA", at positions 28 to 419 of the family's 1533-position model. The record is from RNAcentral.